CCUACGGGUGGCUGCAGUGGGGAAUAUUGGACAAUGGGCGAAAGCCUGAUCCAGCCAUGCCGCGUGUGUGAAGAAGGCCUUCGGGUUGUAAAGCACUUUCAGUGGGGAAGAAAGCCUUGGGGCUAAUACCCUCGAGGAAGGACAUCACCCACAGAAGAAGCACCGGCUAACUCCGUGCCAGCAGCCGCGGUAAUACGGAGGGUGCGAGCGUUAAUCGGAAUUACUGGGCGUAAAGCGCGCGUAGGCGGUCUGAUAAGCCGGUUGUGAAAGCCCCGGGCUCAACCUGGGAACGGCAUCCGGAACUGUCAGGCUAGAGUGCAGGAGAGGAAGGUAGAAUUCCCGGUGUAGCGUUGAAAUGCGUAGAGAUCGGGAGGAAUACCAGUGGCGAAGGCGGCCUUCUGGACUGACACUGACGCUGAGGUGCGAAAGCGUGGGUAGCAAACAGGAUUAGAUACCCUAGUAGUC
Molecule: ribosomal RNA, 465 nt
Filed under: Vreelandella stevensii
Lineage: Bacteria; Pseudomonadati; Pseudomonadota; Gammaproteobacteria; Oceanospirillales; Halomonadaceae
Description: partial 16S ribosomal RNA
Rfam family: Bacterial small subunit ribosomal RNA
Source: RNAcentral